CCAGGCGGCUGAUUUAGCGGCUUCCCUACGGCACAGCACCSACUCGUAGUGGGUGCCACACCUAACGAGCAUCGUUUACAGCUAGGACUACCCGGGUAUCUAAUCCGGUUUGAGACCCUAGCUUUCGUCCCUCACUGUCGAAKCCGUCUUCUCAGAGUGCUUUCGCCAUCGGURGUCCGUCCGGGAUUACRGGAUUUCACUCCUACCCCGGAMGUACUCUCUGAGCCUUCCGGUUCCAAGCCAGGCAGUUUCYACCGGACGCCCACCSGUUGGGCVGGUGGAUUUCCCGAUGGACUUGGUUGGCCAGCUACGGACGCUUUAGGCCCAAUAAUAUGGGACAUCACUCGAGCUGCCGGUAUUACCGCGGCGGCUGGCACCGGUCUUGCCCAGCUCUUAUUCGUUGACCACCUUACAGUCAACAAAAGACGAGGGCUAAUAUGCMCUCGCACUUGGGAUUCCCCUAUCGCACUUCCGUGCAGUGUAAAGGUUUCGCGCCUGCUGCACCCCGU
RNAcentral lists this ribosomal RNA (509 nucleotides) under uncultured haloarchaeon. RNAcentral's name for it is "partial 16S ribosomal RNA". The record is from RNAcentral. Lineage: Archaea; Methanobacteriati; Methanobacteriota; Halobacteria; Halobacteriales; Halobacteriaceae.